GGAAACGGUCGUUGCCGGAGGGUCGCAAGCGUCAUGCUGCUCGUUUGACUUCCUUCGGAGUGAGGCAAUGGCAACAAACGUCGACAUGAAGGGAAUGAGACGGGGGUUCUGCUCGGAUUUCUCGUGUACAGAGCUCUACCGGGACCCUCUGCACGGUGGAACGCACCACCCUGAGUGAUGAGUCUACUGCGGCCACUCGCACACGGCCCACAAUGAACUCGGUGGAUGCACAGCUUCGGUUCCAUAACACGAUCGUCACCAUGCUGAAGAAACUGGAGGAG
RNAcentral lists this long non-coding RNA (281 nucleotides) under Ixodes scapularis (black-legged tick). RNAcentral's name for it is "uncharacterized LOC121837431". The record is from RNAcentral. Lineage: Eukaryota; Metazoa; Arthropoda; Arachnida; Ixodida; Ixodidae.